AGUAGAGUGAUCGAAAGAUGAAGAGCACAUUGAAAAGAGAGUUAAAAAGUACGUGAAAUUGUUGAAAGGGAAGCGUUUAUGACCAGACUUGGGCUUGGUUCAUCAUCUGGGGUUCUCUCCAGUGCACUUUUCCAGUACAGGCCAGCAUCAGUUUCCGCCGGGGGAUAAAGGCUUCGGGCAUGUGGCUCCCCUCUGGGAGUGUUAUAGCCCGUUGUGUAAUACCCUGGUGGGGACUGAGGUUCGCGCUUCUGCAAGGAUGCUGGCGUAAUGGUCAUCAACGACCCGUCUUGAAACACGGACCAAGGAGUCGAAUUCCUAUGCGACU
This 325-nucleotide ribosomal RNA is filed under the name Fusarium torulosum. Its description in RNAcentral is "partial large subunit ribosomal RNA". It matches the Rfam family "Eukaryotic large subunit ribosomal RNA", at positions 347 to 691 of the family's 3401-position model. The record is from RNAcentral. Lineage: Eukaryota; Fungi; Ascomycota; Sordariomycetes; Hypocreales; Nectriaceae.